AAAGACAUAGAAAUUUUUAGAGCAAAAUGAAGAGAAAGGAAAAGAUGAAGGUAAUGUCGCAGACUCCGGUAAAAUCUUAGUUGUUGUUUUUUUUUUUUGCUAUAUACUGUUUGUGAUCUUCACCAAAAUUUUAAGUUUACUGAGAAUUUGUGAAUGAAAUUUUGGGGAGAAGAGGAGUUGUAGGAAAAAUGGUUUUGUAUCCUAUGAAGUUAAGUGUUUUUCUGAUGGAUUAAAAAGGAGGUACUGAUAUUCGAGAGCCUUACUUGAGAAAUACACAAAAUGUAGCCACAAAAACCCUGAUAUUUCACCGAAAAGCUUCAGAUGCGAGACUUUUUCAGCCAAUAUUCAGAGGAAAAUGCCUCAAAAUCAGGGAUCAAGAACAAAACGCAAGGAACGCCAAGGUUUCGUGGUUUGUAGGCGUAAUGGAGGUUAUACGACCCAAAAAGCUGAAGGCUUUCCUAAAAAAAUUGGGGUUUUCACCAAUACAGGUAAAAUCAACAACAAAUUAUAUCGUUAAAGGCUAGGGUUUUAGCAGGUUCAGAACCAAGGAAAGAAAAAAAUGAUCUUUAAUGGUGAAAUAAAGAAAUGAAGGAUAGGGCUUUCGUUACAAAGUAGGGUUUCUCGCGGAGUUCUGGUUCAGAAUCUGCAGUACAUCACAAAAGUUUAAUGGCAAGGGUUUCUUCUCAUAUUCUGAACCAGCAAAGGAGAGAGGCGUGGCUUACCAUUGAGAGGGGGAAGCCUCGC
Molecule: long non-coding RNA, 744 nt
Filed under: Amborella trichopoda
Lineage: Eukaryota; Viridiplantae; Streptophyta; Magnoliopsida; Amborellales; Amborellaceae
Description: long non-coding RNA (ATRI_LNC003255)
Source: RNAcentral